GUCUCAGUGGCGUAGUGGUUAGCGCACGAGCCCCGGUUAGGCGCGAAACGCGGGUUCGAAUCCCGCCUGAGGUG
Nippostrongylus brasiliensis is the source of this 74-nucleotide non-coding RNA. The record is from Rfam. Lineage: Eukaryota; Metazoa; Nematoda; Chromadorea; Rhabditida; Heligmosomidae.